GGAAUAGACAUUGAAUGGACGUCUGUGCCCAGUGGGUUUUAAAGGGCAUUUCAUUUAAUAUAACAGGCUUUUAAAAUUCAAUAUUUGCACACUAUUUCUACUUAAAAUAAUCAUAGGGCACUCAUUUCAUGGAACGACCCUUGGACUGGCUAGAAUGUUUAGAAUAGGUUAUCAGUAAAACGUCACAAUAAGGUGCAGAGCGUUUGGUGUCGUCACCUCUGGAAGAGCAUAGAAAUACAAAUGUCAGAUAUUUCCACAUUCUGCUGUAUCAGUUAUACAGCAGUAACUGCAUGCUGUUCAUGGCCAUUUCAGAUACGUAGCCUGACGAUCUCUCUCAAUAUUGGCCACCAUUGAUUGGAUAUUUGAGUGAUAUAAAAGUAAACUAUACCCGACAAGAAUGAGUGGUUUAGGUUCAUUUCCUGUCCUUUGUGGGCUCUUCCUGUCAAGCAGCAGAAGGGCUCAUUUUACCAAUGUAGUUAGCUGAUAAUAUUUACAAGCUACCGGUAUAAACUUGUUACAGGCUAAACAGAGGUAAAUAGACCUACUGUACUUCUUUCUCCAACCAACGUAGGCCUACCUAGCAAAGUUAGCUAACAUUAUCCACUUCUCAACAUUGUUUUUUUUAAGUGUUUAGUCACUAUUGCUGCUGACAGAAAUUAUAGAUGGGCUUCAUUGAUUGAUGGAUCACGUCAAAUUGGCUAGCUAGCUAAUAACAGAUCGGGUCAAUAUGGGCUGGUUAACGAGCUAACUUCCUGGGGAUAAACUUGAACUUGAUUAGCUUGCCAUCUAUAGUGGUGAUGACAGAAGUCCAACUGACCACUUCACCAGGACGAGGACUUGCUGAUGUCAAGGUCUUUCCAAAAGCCUCAUCUCUGAUGAAGCCAACUAAAUGAAAGGUUUGCUUAGUUAGCUACAUGCCAAAUGGAUAGGCCACCCUCAGGUAUCUGAAACUACAUGAUCAACUGAUGUUACUGAUCAUGAACAGCAUGUAGUUACUUACCGUAUAACUCAGAGCUAAAUGUGGAAUAAUCAGACGGGUAGUUCUGACUAUGCGUUGGGGCGGGUGGUAGCCUAGUGGUUAGAGCAGCAGGUAGCCUAGUGGUUAGAGCGUUGGGGCGGGUGGUAGCCUAGUGGUUAGAGCGUUGGGGCGGGUGGUAGCCUAGUGGUUAGAGCAGCAGGUAGCCUAGUGGUUAGAGCAGCAGGUAGCCUAGUGGUUAGAGCAGCAGGUAGCCUAGUGGUUAGAGCAGCAGGUAGCCUAGUGGUUAGAGCAGCAGGUAGCCUAGUGGUUAGAGGAGCAGGUAGCCUAGUGGUUAGAGCGGCAGGUAGCCUAGUGGUUAGAGCAGCAGGUAGCCUAGUGGUUAGAGGAGCAGGUAGCCUAGUGGUUAGAGGGGCAGGUAGCCUAGUGGUUAGAGGGGCAGGUAGCCUAGUGGUUAGAGGGGCAGGUAGCCUAGUGGUUAGAGGGGCAGGUAGCCUAGUGGUUAGAGAGACAGGUAGCCUAGUGGUUAGAGAGGCAGGUAGCCUAGUGGUUAGAGCGUUGGGGCGGGUGGUAGCCUAGUGGUUAGAGCGGCAGGUAGCCUAGUGGUUAGAGCGGCAGGUAGCCUAGUGGUUAGAGGGGCAGGUAGCCUAGUGGUUAGAGCAGCAGGUAGCCUAGUGGUUAGAGGGGCAGGUAGCCUAGUGGUUAGAGUGUAGGGGAGGCAGGUAGCCUAGUGGUUAGAGCGGCAGGUAGCCUAGUGGUUAGAGCGGCAGGUAGCCUAGUGGUUAGAGCGGCAGGUAGCCUAGUGGUUAGAGCGUUGGGGCGGGUGGUAGCCUAGUGGUUAGAGCAGCAGGUAGCCUAGUGGUUAGAGCGGCAGGUAGCCUAGUGGUUAGAGCGGCAGGUAGCCUAGUGGUUAGAGCGUUGGGGCGGGUGGUAGCCUAGUGGUUAGAGCAGCAGGUAGCCUAGUGGUUAGAGCGUUGGGGCGGGUGGUAGCCUAGUGGUUAGAGCAGCAGGUAGCCUAGUGGUUAGAGCGUUGGGGCGGGAGGUAGCCUAGUGGUUAGAGCGUUGGGGCGGGUAGUAGCCUAGCGGUUAGAGCAGCAGGUAGCCUUGUGGUUAGAGCGUUGGGGAGGCAGGUAGCCUUGUGGUUAGAGCAUUGGGGCGGCACGUAGCCUUGUGGUUAGAGCAUUGGGGCGGCAGGUAGCCUUGUGGUUAGAGCAUUGGGGCGGCAGGUAGCCUUGUGGUUAGAGCGUUGGGCCAGUAACCGAAAGGUUGCUAGAUUGAAUCCCCGAGCUGACAAGGUAAAAAUCUGUCCUUCUGCUCCUGAACAAGGCAGUUAACCCACUGUUCCUAGGCCGUCAUUGUAAAUAAGAAUUUGUUCUUAACCGACUUGCCUAGUUAAAUAAAGGUCUUAAAAAAUGUUUUAACAAUCCCUUGAAAACGGCACGCAGUUGUCAAUGGUUUUAGCAGAGCUGACGGUCUUCUUGCUCUACAGCAGCCAAAUGAAACGCUCUGCACCCUGUUGUGACGUCUUAUUGAUAACGACCUAUGGGGACAAACAUCUGGAACAGAUCAUUAGGAUUCUCAGGUUCCAAAUAUAUGAAAUGUCAUGUUGGCUCAUACACAUCCAGAGGCUGCUACAGCCUCUCCUCAUGUAAUGCAUGUCAAUCCCUGGAGUCAAAGACAUGCUGGUUGAGUUGGAAAGAAAGCGUUAUGUUUCUAAUUUCUUAAUGUCGUAAAUUAAACUGUAAUAUUAUACAAAAUGAUAAGAACUGUAUUAUAAUGAGCGAACUGAAUCUAAGUUAAUCUAUGUUCAUGUUUUAGUUCUAGUCCAUGUGAAUUGUUCAAUAUGUGUAUGUCUCAGCAAAGAUAAAACUAUGUGAGUUUACAUAUGGCUUAAAAAUAAAUGUCAAUUUCUUUCUAUUUUCCAUAAAUGUAUAAAUAUAGACAUGAAUUGUUCCUUAGUUUUGGUGUUUGCCUGUAACAUCUAGUAGAUGUAGCAACAUUGCUAUUUAUUGCAGAGAUGAAAUUAUUAGACUGUUUAUUUGCUUUAUCUUGUUUCUAGUUAUUGUUCUGUAAGAUAUGUUAUGUGCAUUGUGUAACUAAAAUGUUCAUUUAAAACUAUUUACUUUAAUAGGGAAUUAUUUAUGUAAAAAUUGUUUGUAAAAUCUAUUUUGGUUUUUAUGACAUUAAACAUGAAUUGAACUUGGU
Molecule: long non-coding RNA, 3181 nt
Filed under: Salmo salar (Atlantic salmon)
Lineage: Eukaryota; Metazoa; Chordata; Actinopteri; Salmoniformes; Salmonidae
Description: lncRNA (ENSSSAG00000106945.1)
Source: RNAcentral